AUGAUUCGUGGGACGUCCUGCCGGUGGUGGCGAGUCGAAGGCGUGCUCCCGUUGUGGUUCCCACUUCGGUUCUUGCGCGCCCGAGGCGGACCCCGAUGAAAUCCUACCGCGGUGCUCUUCGCCGAGUGUCGAGGUGGGCCGGCACGUUUACUUUGAACAAAUUAGAGUGCUUAAAGCAGGCCUGUUGCGCCUGAAUACUGUGUGCAUGGAAUAAUGGAAUAGGACCUCGGUUCUAUUUUGUUGGUUUUCGGAACCCGAGGUAAUGAUUAAUAGGGACAGGCGGGGGCAUUCGUAUUGCGACGUUAGAGGUGAAAUUCUUGGAUCGUCGCAAGACGGACCGAAGCGAAAGCAUUUGCCAAGUAUGUUUUCAUUAAUCAAGAACGAAAGUUAGAGGUUCGAAGGCGAUCAGAUACCGCCCUAGUUCUAACCAUAAACGAUGCCAGCUAGCGAUCCGCCGAAGUUCCUCCGAUGACUCGGCGGGCAGCUCCCGGGAAACCAAAGCUUUUGGGUUCCGGGGGAAGUAUGGUUGCAAAGCUGAACUUAAAGGAAUUGACGGAAGG
Molecule: ribosomal RNA, 560 nt
Filed under: Isophya modestior
Lineage: Eukaryota; Metazoa; Arthropoda; Insecta; Orthoptera; Tettigoniidae
Description: SSU rRNA
Rfam family: Eukaryotic small subunit ribosomal RNA
Source: RNAcentral